Long non-coding RNA from Anguilla anguilla (European eel), 589 nucleotides. RefSeq lists it as uncharacterized. NCBI's taxonomy places the organism in Eukaryota, Metazoa, Chordata, Actinopteri, Anguilliformes, Anguillidae. The record is from RefSeq and is a predicted model, not a curated record. The transcript has 2 exons.
CGUUGCAGGGUAGCUGAACGGGGGCAGUGGCUGCGUCCUCUGUCAGAGUGCCGCAGGACCAGCUUGGACUCCUGACGAGGAAGGGCUGCACGCGGAAGAUGAGGGAAUUUGAAGAUGCGCAGGACAAGAGAGACCCAACGGCCCAUUACCCCUCUCCACCAUCAGUUCCUAUGUACGCUCUAUGGGUAAACCACCCACCCUGCUGCCCCGAGGCCUGUCCCUAGUACCCUCAUCCGACAGAGCACUCCUCCCCAGCCUGCCACUGCUGCUCCCCCUUGGACAGAUCCUGAGGUAAGAUUUCACUGUUAACACACAGCACUCACUUUGUGUGUUAAAUAUUUCACUGUGAACCCAUAGGAGACACAUCAUUUGGUAAAUUUAGCAUUAACACAAGUCUUGUUAUAGAACCGUCUUUUUGUUUCUGCAUGGAAAGAAACACUAAAAUCCAGAUUUUUCCUGUUGAAAUGAGUGUAGAGGGAUGUCCAGACUGCUGGGUUGUUAGCAUUGUUACUUUUUGUUUGUAAACCUGUAAUAAAAUGUAAUUAUUAUUUGUGAAUCUUUAAUUAAAAUGCAGAUGUUUUCAUAAAAA